Molecule: microRNA precursor, 82 nt
Filed under: Toxocara canis (dog roundworm)
Lineage: Eukaryota; Metazoa; Nematoda; Chromadorea; Rhabditida; Toxocaridae
Description: mir-44 microRNA precursor family
Rfam family: mir-44 microRNA precursor family
Source: Rfam by way of RNAcentral
GAGACGUGAAACUGGAUGUCUCUCGCGGUCAUAACGUUGAUCGGCUAUCUAUGACUAGAGACACAUUCAGCUUGGCGACUCG